This 416-nucleotide long non-coding RNA is filed under the name Fukomys damarensis (Damara mole-rat). Its description in RNAcentral is "lncRNA (ENSFDAG00000022287.1)". Lineage: Eukaryota; Metazoa; Chordata; Mammalia; Rodentia; Bathyergidae. The record is from RNAcentral.
GAUUACAGCCAGUGACCCUAGGGCCCGGGUUAUAAAUUCCUGUGUCCAUACUGCAACUGGACUUGGGGCAACACCCUGUGAGGCAGCUGAAUGCCACAUCACGAACAACUUCCCCCUCCGCUUCUGCCUUCUCCUGCUGCCUUUGCUCUCUCCUCCGGCCUCCCAUGCUGAACCCAGAUGCUCCUUAACAAGCCCGCCGCAGAUCCCCUGCCUUCUGAGACUGCUUCCCUGGGAAACUUCAGCAAUGAAAGUGACCCACACUACCAAGAAACUUAGACACUUGCUGCUUUACCAUGUUCAUCUGUAUGGGAGAACAGGAAUUUGAAAUUGAACAGAUCCUCCUGGCUAAAGAAUUCUGGACAAAUCAUUCUAUACCACAAGCAAAUAAGUAAAAGUUCAAUCAUCCGUGCCACCCG